GUGUCAGGAAGAGGAAGAGCGAGGGUGUAGCAGGGAAAGUACUGGUCUGUGCUGCGUGUGGGAAGUGACUUUAGUGGCGGCGUGAAGGCGAGGACACGAGUGAGGUGCUGGCAGGCUGACUGAGGGUGAGCACUGCCCUGAGUGACAAUGAUGGAUGAAGAUUCAGUGGCUGGUAAUGAUGAUGUCCUCUGCCGCUCUCUUACCUCAUAAAACUAUUACAUUUCUUGGAACGUCAUUGUACGACAGAGUAGCCAGCUAAACAGCCGAGCCCUCAGCGUGCGCCUCCCGCCGGACAAGGGACCCUGCAUCCAACACUACCUCAUUGAGAUCCACAACGAAGGCUCCUCCUACUCACUCCAAGCUUCUGAAAACCGCUUCGACACCCUUCCUUCGCUCAUCACCUAUUAUUCUCAGUGCUGCGAAGAGUUGCUGGCUCAGCUCAAGCUUCCUCGCACCGUCCAGGAGGCCAAGACCCGCCAUGAACUCGGCUCUCUCUCGCUGCUCGGACAAGGUGGUGCAUCACAGCGUCAGACUCACAGAGGAUGUGUAGCCGAGGCAAUGACACGUGGACGGCGCUGAUGGCGGCCAGAACCUCUUGGGCGUCUUGGUCACACACGGCCAGGCUGAGCACCCCCAGGUCCCGCCACUCCUGCAGCAGCUGUGUGCCGGCACCACUUAAGUGACCCAUGAACCUCUCAAGAAACAGUUGGCCAAAAUAAUAAUGGCAGAAGUAAGACUAAGCUUUGAAGAAAGAACAUGUCAUAAAGUGUUACUGGAGGCACGAAAAUGUCAAAAGUGCAAAGACAAUUCAGAAGACACUUUGACAGGGAUCCACCAAGGUGACGCGCCAUUGCUCGCAUCACAGCUAAAUUUGCAUCAACAACCACCACCACCACCACCACCACCACCAGCAUGGCAGUAGUAGCAGGAGUAGUGAAUGGUCACACGUAUGUGGUGACUUCUUGGACUAUCAGGCUGCCCUUGUAGUGUGUUGGACUAUCGGUCAACAAGGAGACCUGAAAGUUACGUGGUACAACUAUUUUGGUGAUAGUAGUGGCUGUAAGUAGUAGUAGUAGUUGUAGUAAUAGUAUUAGUAAUAGUAGUUAUGCGUGUAAUGUCAAUAUGGUCCAUUUUGUAACUGUAAUUGCAAAGAUUCUCGACUUUGUUUCUUAAAGGCGUGACGUAAUUAGAGAAAACGUAUAUAUUUUAAGGGACACUAGACUGUACUUCGUUAUUCCUGUUUAUUGCUAUUAUACGAGUUUUUUAUAGUUUCACUUGUAUAUACUAUUUAAAUCUACUAUUCUGUGAUGUUUAAUACUACUAAUUAUUAUGUUUAAGUGAGAGAAGUCAGAGAAAGAGCUAUAUUUAUAAUUUUUACGUGUAAGUAAAUUUGUAGGAUGCUCGACCUUAUGUUUCUUAAAUAAGUGACGUAAUUAGAGAAAACGUAUGUCUUUUAAGGGAGGUUUUAGUAUGUCUUCUAUAUAUGUGUGUCUUCAUUAUCACCAUCAUCUUAUUCUUGUUCUUGUUCUUUUUGUUCUUGUUCUUAUUCUUGUUCUUGUUGUUCUUCUUAAUAUUAUUAUUAUUAUCAUUAUUAUUAUUAUUGUUAUUAUUAUUAUUAUUAUUAUUAUUAUUAUUAUUAUUA
This is a long non-coding RNA of Scylla paramamosain (green mud crab), 1642 nucleotides long. RefSeq lists it as uncharacterized. The transcript is spliced from 7 exons. Lineage: Eukaryota; Metazoa; Arthropoda; Malacostraca; Decapoda; Portunidae. The record is from RefSeq and is a predicted model, not a curated record.